UCGAACGGAGUUAUAUUGUAGCUUGCUAUGGUAUAACUUAGUGGCAGACGGGUGAGUAAUGUAUAGGAAUCUACCUAGUAGUACGGAAUAAUUGUUGGAAACGGCAACUAAUACCGUAUACGCCCUACGGGGGAAAAAUUUAUUGCUAUUAGAUGAGCCUAUAUUAGAUUAGCUAGUUGGUGGAGUAAUAGCCUACCAAGGCAAUGAUCUAUAGCUGAUCUGAGAGGAUGAUCAGCCACACUGGAACUGAGAUACGGUCCAGACUCCUACGGGAGGCAGCAGUGGGGAAUAUUGGACAAUGGGCGAAAGCCUGAUCCAGCCAUGCCGCAUGAGUGAAGAAGGCCUUUGGGUUGUAAAGCUCUUUUAGUGAGGAAGAUAAUGACGGUACUCACAGAAGAAGUCCUGGCUAACUCCGUGCCAGCAGCCGCGGUAAUACGGAGAGGGCUAGCGUUAUUCGGAAUUAUUGGGCGUAAAGGGCGCGUAGGCGGAUUAGUAAGUUAAAAGUGAAAUCCCAAGGCUCAACCUUGGAAUUGCUUUUAAAACUGCUAAUCUAGAGAUUGAAAGAGGAUAGAGGAAUUCCUAGUGUAGAGGUGAAAUUCGUAAAUAUUAGGAGGAACACCAGU
RNAcentral lists this ribosomal RNA (623 nucleotides) under Wolbachia pipientis. RNAcentral's name for it is "bacterial SSU rRNA". It matches the Rfam family "Bacterial small subunit ribosomal RNA", at positions 62 to 713 of the family's 1533-position model. The record is from RNAcentral. Lineage: Bacteria; Pseudomonadati; Pseudomonadota; Alphaproteobacteria; Rickettsiales; Anaplasmataceae.